RNAcentral lists this ribosomal RNA (207 nucleotides) under uncultured bacterium. RNAcentral describes it as "partial 16S ribosomal RNA". It matches the Rfam family "Bacterial small subunit ribosomal RNA", at positions 1294 to 1500 of the family's 1533-position model. The record is from RNAcentral.
CGGAUUGAAGGCUGAAAUUCGCCUUCAUGAAGCUGGAAUUGCUAGUAAUCGCGGAUCAGCAUGCCGCGGUGAAUACGUUCCCGGGCCUUGUACACACCGCCCGUCACACCAUGGGAGUUGGGAGUGCCCAAAGCCGGUGAGGCAACCGAAAGGAGGGAGCUGUCGAAGGUGGAGCCGAUGACUGGGGUGAAGUCGUAACAAGGUAGC